ACUUGCUCCUGCGACUUCCUUUUCAUUUGGUGGGGCAUGCCAACGAGAUCUCAUGAGAGCUUUGAAUCAGUAAGCUCAUAAUCUAGGGUUCAAUUAGCGCCAACUUCAGGGGAGGGAAUUCACCCCAAAGCGGAUUUUGUUCGCUCUGCUCCUCUUGAUUCUGUUGUUCUAGACAAAAAGAUGAGAGCUUUUCAAGGUAUCCAGUUAGACCCCCGGGUAAAAGAGAUCUAUCCAUUUUAGCCACCCUUUCCAUUACUGAUCUAGUUGCUCUUGCUAUCUAACCCGCCACUUUAUUAUAUGAUCUUUUAUUGACUUCAAAAAGUCAAUUUUUUUUCUUUUUCUCGGGCCGACUUCAUACAUUCUAUUACUUAUAGAAAUAGUCAUGCCAAUCUUCUCGGUAAAGAAGAACUCUUUCGCACGAUCUUAAGAGAGCCUAGUUCCACAAGAGCCUUAUCACGAGCCUUUACUUGAUGAAAGGCGCCCUGUAAGAUGCGCUAUAUCGACAAGGCGAGGAGAAAGCAGCCUAAUGGGAAUAGCUCCAAACCAAAGCAGCCCUCCAUCUCGCAUAUAGAAAUGGUUGACAGGCAUACCUAUUCAUGAUAUCGAAUAGGAAUGAUCAUUAUCAGGGGAUACAGAUAUGCCAUGCUAGGAUGAGCUAGGCUUUCAACAGCAUAAGCCACCUCCCAAGCGGCUUCCCUCCAGUGCCUUUGACUAUUGCUACGGUCAUCAACCGCAGCAUUGAAUUGAGACUUUCCACCUUGCUUUGGACUUGAAUGGAUCUACUUCUCCUCUGCCAGAUCGAUCUNN
Molecule: long non-coding RNA, 807 nt
Filed under: Nicotiana benthamiana
Lineage: Eukaryota; Viridiplantae; Streptophyta; Magnoliopsida; Solanales; Solanaceae
Description: long non-coding RNA (NBEN_LNC027626)
Source: RNAcentral